Triticum aestivum (bread wheat) is the source of this 96-nucleotide non-coding RNA. NCBI's taxonomy places the organism in Eukaryota, Viridiplantae, Streptophyta, Magnoliopsida, Poales, Poaceae. The record is from Rfam.
UGGUGGCACCAACCGGGGCUAAAGGGGGGCAUUGGUUCCGGUUGGUGUCACGAACCGGUACCAAAGCACCCCUUUAGUCCCGGUUGGUGCCACCAA